GCCCUUAUAGCUCAGCCGGUAGAGCACCUGAUUUGUAAUCAGGGGGUCGGCGGUUCAAAUCCGUCUGGGGGCACCA
RNAcentral lists this transfer RNA (76 nucleotides) under Candidatus Tokpelaia sp. JSC085. RNAcentral's name for it is "tRNA-Thr". It matches the Rfam family "tRNA". Rfam says of the family: Transfer RNA (tRNA) molecules are approximately 80 nucleotides in length. Their secondary structure includes four short double-helical elements and three loops (D, anti-codon, and T loops). Lineage: Bacteria; Pseudomonadati; Pseudomonadota; Alphaproteobacteria; Hyphomicrobiales. The record is from RNAcentral.